UGUCUGCUGUGUUUUCGGCUGGGGGGGGGGGGCAGCCAGGGGUCGGCGAUGCUGGCCGACGAGUUUGUUGAAGAGGUGGAGGAGGCGUCUCGGGUGCAGACGACACAGCUGUUCGCCAUCGCCACGGCGACCCCAGGAGACGGAGGAGAAAACCUCAACGACGUCCUGACCACCCUGGAGCCGACCAGCUUCGUCUCUGAAGGCGUCUGUCUCCUGCCCCCGGCCGCCGGCGGCUGCCAGAACUACACCAUCAGCUGG
Long non-coding RNA from Etheostoma cragini (Arkansas darter), 258 nucleotides. RefSeq lists it as uncharacterized. Lineage: Eukaryota; Metazoa; Chordata; Actinopteri; Perciformes; Percidae. The record is from RefSeq and is a predicted model, not a curated record. The transcript has 3 exons.